GUUUAACAACUGAUGAGUGGUACCUACUAUAGCUAGGCAAGGUAUCAUCUGCACAAUGGAGGUUUUACACCAUGACAAUCUUAUCUGUGUUGAAAAUCUUUUAACAUCUGUAUAAUAAUGUAAAAGUACAUAGUCAAACAUAUGAUGCUAGCAGAGCCUGAGGUUAUUGUGGUCAAGAAGCAAUACUUAUCAUAAGGACCCACAUAGGGUAGCAUGAAAAUGUUUUCAGCACAUAGAUGAACAAAAAAAGAAUGCUUGUCAGAACUUGAAAGAAACUGUGGUGAUUUGGGAACUGAGCUGUAGACAAUUAAAUGAUUUUUUAUUCAGUUUACAUAUUAGUUGGAAGUUGUGCAAUGAGUUAAGUUGUUUAUAGAUCAGCGAAGAACAUUAUAGAAGUUGUCUUCACCAGCUGGCAUGGUUUUGAAAAAAAAAUGAUUAACAGACAAAAAGAACAACAAUUAGCUAGAGAACUCAUGUUAUAAAUAUAAGCCAAGAAUUCGACAUGCUUGCACCUGUACAAUACAAUGGGUUGGUCAAGUAUGGCUCUUGACUAGAAAAAAAGAUAUCUUGCAUACUGUAUUAUUUUUAGUUGAUGAAUAGAGUUCUCUAUUGCCUGCAUGACCAUCAGACCAUAUGAUGUCUACCAUUUCUUUUAAAAAAAUUCCAGAAAUUUUCCUCUCCUGAGCCAUUUAAUCAGAUGGUUGGAGUUGUCAUAUUCAAAUAUAGAAAUAAGCAGUCAGAUAUACUAUAUACUGGGAUUUCCUGUUAACUAGCAAAAUAGAAGCACUUUAGCUGAUCUAACAUCAUGGGUCAGGUAUUUUGGGAUGGAGCUGAACUUGCAAUAGCAUUAGCAAAAUGAAAACCUUAGCAUGUUGAAUGAUAGCAGAUAAGAAACUUGUAUUUCUUGCAAUUGGCUCUAGAUGUUGAUAAGAAAUGCCCAUGUGCAAUAUCUUGAAAGCUUGGAUUUGAAUCCAGAAAGCUUAGGUUGAUCUUAUGUUCUUACCCCUGUUUUUUUCCUAAUCAGCAUGUUUAUUACCUUAGUACCCUAGCCACUGCCAAAAGUUUUUACCUUGAUCCACUAUUGGCAGCUACCAUUGAAAUUUCUAAAACCUAUACACAUAUUUGUUUUAGAAUUUAAGCUUGUGCAAGAGUAUAUGUUUAUGUCACUGAAGUAUGAGCUAUUGCAAUAAUUAUUUCUUCAUAUGACAGGGUAAGGCUAAAGAUGAAAAGAAUCAAUGACUAGGACAAUGGGAAAAUGUGAACUCAUGCCAUCUUUGCAAAGUAGAAAAGCUCUUUUUUGAGCCUCCACCUACUUUGAGCCAACAACAGUGUGCUAUGAAACAUAUUGGCCUAAAUAAUCUGUAAAUCGGAAUUUGAACAUGGGACCAUUGUAGACCUAGGCAUACAUUCUCUAAUUCAUAAGUGGUCGAUUAUACAAUAGUAGAAAAACUACAAACACAUGUUUGUUUAGAGAGGCUGGCAUACCAAAAAAUGUCAGAGUCAUAAUGACUGGACCAAAUGUUGGUGAACACCAAUCAUAAAUUUAGAGAGGAUGGUGUAAGUUUGUUUUGGUUGCGCCAGUGCAGACCUUUUGGUCAAACCCUCAGGCUUGCAGCUCUAAAGAAGCCAUGUACUACUAAAUGUGGAUAUAUCACACUUCUUAGCAAAAACAAAGAAGCCAAUGUAAUAAACUAUUUUAGAUCUUCAAUCUUGACACUACAUGAGCAAUGUUCUAAAAUUUUUUUCUUCAUGCCAACCAGACGAUCAACCUGAAUUAUUAAUGUUUUUCUCUGAAGGCGUAGGAAUUAGAAGUUGAAAGAAGGAAAUGACAUUUACCUUAUGUAUUUGUGUCUUCCUACCUGCACCCAUGUGAAAGGAGUAUAUUUUUCUCAUGGUCUGCAACUCUGCAAUUAAGCUAUUAUUCAUAAGGUUACCUACAAAAAAUCAGAAUAAAAAUGAUUAGCAUAAAAAUUUCCAAAUUCUGACGAGGCAAAACCUGGUUGCAUAUUAUAAAUCCAAACAAAAGCCAUUAACCCAUCUAGAUCUUAACAUUCCUACCUUCUUCAUUUAGUACUGAAUGUUUACUCUCCUAGGGAAACAAAAGAUACAAAAUGGUUCUAUAAUCCACACAAACAUCCUACCUUCUAUCUAGAAACUGGUCAUGCAAACUGCUCUCCAUUUGUCCUAGAGAUGGAGCGAUGGUGCUAACUUGAUCCAGGAUCAUGGGCUUACUGCCAAACUCCACCAACGGUUUAGACACACUGAGCGACUGUAGUCGUAAGUGGAUGCCAAAGCUUCUAACAACAAUGAGGCCUUCAUGGCUGCAGCAAUCCUCCUCCAAAUCCAGCCCCCACCCUGUGGAAAAAUGCAGUAAACCCCAAGAAACAGUUAGAUCCUUGGAUCUGAUCUGAUCCAAAAACUUAGACCCCAGAGCAUACAAUUAGCAAUAAGGGAAUCAAUCCAUUAUUUCUGGUAUACAAUUUGUUCCCAUGAUAUGAAACCAGGUAUCAUUGCAUUAGCCUAAACCAGUAAACCACAAACUAUAAGUUGCAGGGGAGCCGCUCAAGUAGAAACCAAGAACCAGCUAUUAUAAUCUAAGUGUGCAGAGAUAACACACAUAGUCAGUAUGAAAACACAGAGCCAGGCAGAGAUGAUGAUUUUUUUUUUUCAUACAACAGAUACUUAUAAUAGCUAAUAAGCAUAGCGCACCUAGAUUCAUAGCAACAAAAUUACAGAAAAAUAUUUGUAAAUUGGAUAUGAAACAAACAUAAGGCUGGCACUAUAGCCAACCUUGUUUUUUAGUUCUCUUUACGCUGCUGUAGCGGAGGCAUUUUUCUUAGUAGCUACCAAGCAAUAAAGCUACCUGCAUCGCAACAAAGGAUCAGCCUUUUAGAAACCAUAUACAAGAUCUAAAAUCAAAGGGAACUGUAGAUACUCUCCAAAAAGGUAACAUAAAUCUAUGACCAAACCUAAGAAAAUUCUAGAUUGCUGAAAAUUACCCUACAGGAAGUGCCAACUAAUGAUCCUGUAAUUCUAUUUUUCGAACUUCAGCACAAAAUGGUAAGAAAGAUAAAAUACGAGCCUGUUUUAUAGCAACAUAAUAAUAAUACCUCAGUUCAAAAUAAACAUAUCAGCACAUGGGGAAAGAGGAAAACAAACACUAAGCUUGCAAUAUAGUUACAUAUAGUAUUAUUAUUUCAUUUGGGAACGAAGUUGGACUAAUUUGGAUACAUUGGGAAAUUUACUUUAUACCUACUAUUCCAUCUGGUUUUUGAUUUCUAGUUUAAUUUUAUUUGUAGCUAUGAUUGGAGCUAUAGUACUGACUAUGCAUAGCAACAGGUCCAAAGGCAUCUACAACUAGGAACUGAACCCAAGGGAAAUACCUACAAGCAGUCUUGGAGCAGGGACACUUGGAAAAUUGGAACUGGUCCUGCAAACCCAGAAGAUGCAACAAUAAAAAUGGCAUCAAUAUUCGUAAAUAGAAGUACAAUUACUAACUUUCGGUUGUAUGUAACAAGAUUUUGUAUGUAAGGAGUAAAGAAGAGGAAUGAAAUGAGGAAUGGACAUUACCAGCCACAAACAACAAGAAGAGGAGACAACAUAAUGAGUAAGAGGUCUUCAAACCUAAAACAUUCCAGUCCACUCUUUAUUCACAUUGGAAACAAACCUAAGUUUAGAUGAACUUUUGAAGCAAAAAAACAAUGACCUUUGCUAUAUUCCACCUGAGCGGGAAGAACAACAAUGCACAUAAUUGUACUCAAAAGUCAAAGAAAAAGGAGAACAAAAAUGAUCAUAGACAAGCAAAGUGUUUGAUAAUAUAAUCUUUAGAAAUAGGGGCCGGUGCUCAGAAACAACAGUUCGUAAUUUGACAUCAGAAGCAACGGACAAAGACAGUGAUCACAAGCCUAGAAUGAAGAAGAACAUAUUUACCACUUCAUAGACAGUAAGCACAAUCUUAGACUGCACAAUUAUGUGAUUAUUGACAUCAUAGACAAUUAUCAUAAGCACGUCUGACUGGAAAACCAAAGCCGAUGACCAAAGUAGAGAGUGGAGGAAAUCAUCAUAGGCAACACCAUCAGAAGCUAACUCCAAUGGCAAGCUAUCUGACCUAAUAAGCAAAGCGAGUAGGCAAUGAAUACUAUAUCUCACUAACUAGGAUCUACCAUGGCUACGGCCAAGGGGUGGCCAAACCCAGCGGCUUUGCACAAAGAGAUGCCCAAAAUAGAAUAAACAUUACUCAUGAUCAUUGCCUCAGCCAUGAAUAUAGCACAU
Molecule: long non-coding RNA, 4272 nt
Filed under: Sorghum bicolor (sorghum)
Lineage: Eukaryota; Viridiplantae; Streptophyta; Magnoliopsida; Poales; Poaceae
Description: long non-coding RNA (SBIC_LNC007495)
Source: RNAcentral